This 815-nucleotide ribosomal RNA is filed under the name uncultured bacterium. Its description in RNAcentral is "bacterial SSU rRNA". It matches the Rfam family "Bacterial small subunit ribosomal RNA", at positions 8 to 853 of the family's 1533-position model. The record is from RNAcentral.
AGAGUUUGAUCAUGGCUCAGGAUGAACGCUGGCGGCGUGCCUAACACAUGCAAGUCGAGCGAUUCUCUUCGGAGAAGAGCGGCGGACGGGUGAGUAACGCGUGGGUAACCUGCCCUGUGCACACGGAUAACAUACCGAAAGGUAUGCUAAUACGAGAUAAUAUGCUUUUAUCGCAUGGUAGAAGUAUCAAAGCUUUUGCGGUACAGGAUGGACCCGCGUCUGAUUAGCUAGUUGGUAAGGUAACGGCUUACCAAGGCGACGAUCAGUAGCCGACCUGAGAGGGUGAUCGGCCACAUUGGAACUGAGACACGGUCCAAACUCCUACGGGAGGCAGCAGUGGGGAAUAUUGCACAAUGGGCGAAAGCCUGAUGCAGCAACGCCGCGUGAGCGAUGAAGGCCUUCGGGUCGUAAAGCUCUGUCCUCAAGGAAGAUAAUGACGGUACUUGAGGAGGAAGCUCCGGCUAACUACGUGCCAGCAGCCGCGGUAAUACGUAGGGGGCUAGCGUUAUCCGGAAUUACUGGGCGUAAAGGGUGCGUAGGUGGUUUCUUAAGUCAGAGGUGAAAGGCUACGACUCAACCGUAGUAAGCCUUUGAAACUGGGAAACUUGAGUGCAGGAGAGGAGAGUGGAAUUCCUAGUGUAGCGGUGAAAUGCGUAGAUAUUAGGAGGAACACCAGUUGCGAAGGCGGCUCUCUGGACUGUAACUGACACUGAGGCACGAAAGCGUGGGGAGCAAACAGGAUUAGAUACCCUGGUAGUCCACGCCGUAAACGAUGAGUACUAGCUGUGGAGGUUACCCCCUUCGGUGGCGCAGCU